AGUACGGCGGAACACGUGAAAUUCCGUCGGAAUCUGGGAGGACCAUCUCCCAAGGCUAAAUACUCCCUAGUGAUCGAUAGUGAACCAGUACCGUGAGGGAAAGGUGAAAAGCACCCCGGAAGGGGAGUGAAAGAGAUCCUGAAACCGUGUGCCUACAAAUAGUCAGAGCCCGUUAAUGGGUGAUGGCGUGCCUUUUGUAGAAUGAACCGGCGAGUUACGAUCCCGUGCGAGGUUAAGCUGAAGAGGCGGAGCCGCAGCGAAAGCGAGUCUGAAUAGGGCGUUUAGUACGUGGUCGUAGACCCGAAACCAGGUGAUCUACCCAUGUCCAGGGUGAAGUUCAGGUAACACUGAAUGGAGGCCCGAACCCACGCACGUUGAAAAGUGCGGGGAUGAGGUGUGGGUAGCGGAGAAAUUCCAAUCGAACCUGGAGAUAGCUGGUUCUCCCCGAAAUAGCUUUAGGGCUAGCCUUAAGUGUAAGAGUCUUGGAGGUAGAGCACUGAUUGAACUAGGGGUCCUCAUCGGAUUACCGAAUUCAGUCAAACUCCGAAUGCCAAUGACUUAUCCUUAGGAGUCAGACUGCGAGUGAUAAGAUCCGUAGUCAAGAGGGAAACAGCCCAGAUCGCCAGCUAAGGUCCCAAAGUGUGUAUUAAGUGGAAAAGGAUGUGGAGUUGCUUAGACAACUAGGAUGUUGGCUCAGAAGCAGCCACCAUUUAAAGAGUGCGUAAUAGCUCACUAGUCGAGUGACUCUGCGCCGAAAAUGUACCGGGGCUAAAUACACCACCGAAGCUGCGAAUUGAUACCAAUGGUAUCAGUGGUAGGGGAGCGUUCUAAGUGCAGUGAAGUCAGACCGGAAGGACUGGUGGAGCGCUUAGAAGUGAGAAUGCCGGUAUGAGUAGCGAAAGACGGGUGAGAAUCCCGUCCACCGAAUGCCUAAGGUUUCCUGAGGAAGGCUCGUCCGCUCAGGGUUAGUCAGGACCUAAGCCGAGGCCGACAGGCGUAGGCGAUGGACAACAGGUUGAUAUUCCUGUACCACCUCUUUAUCGUUUGAGCAAUGGAGGGACGCAGAAGGAUAGAAGAAGCGUGCGAUUGGUUGUGCACGUCCAAGCAGUUAGGCUGAUAAGUAGGCAAAUCCGCUUAUCGUGAAGGCUGAGCUGUGAUGGGGAAGCUCCUUAUGGAGCGAAGUCUUUGAUUCCCCGCUGCCAAGAAAAGCUUCUAGCGAGAUAAAAGGUGCCUGUACCGCAAACCGACACAGGUAGGCGAGGAGAGAAUCCUAAGGUGUGCGAGAGAACUCUGGUUAAGGAACUCGGCAAAAUGACCCCGUAACUUCGGGAGAAGGGGUGCUUUCUUAACGGAAAGCCGCAGUGAAUAGGCCCAAGCGACUGUUUAGCAAAAACACAGGUCUCUGCGAAGCCGUAAGGCGAAGUAUAGGGGCUGACACCUGCCCGGUGCUGGAAGGUUAAGGAGAGGGGUUAGCGUAAGCGAAGCUCUGAACUGAAGCCCCAGUAAACGGCGGCCGUAACUAUAACGGUCCUAAGGUAGCGAAAUUCCUUGUC
RNAcentral lists this ribosomal RNA (1553 nucleotides) under Bacillus mycoides. RNAcentral's name for it is "partial 23S ribosomal RNA". It matches the Rfam family "Bacterial large subunit ribosomal RNA", at positions 411 to 1973 of the family's 2925-position model. Lineage: Bacteria; Bacillati; Bacillota; Bacilli; Caryophanales; Bacillaceae. The record is from RNAcentral.